Molecule: long non-coding RNA, 390 nt
Organism: Fundulus heteroclitus (mummichog)
Lineage: Eukaryota; Metazoa; Chordata; Actinopteri; Cyprinodontiformes; Fundulidae
Exons: 3
Source: RefSeq, a predicted model, not a curated record
UGGUACAGGUUAUCUUAAUGACUCUUGAGAGCAACAAGAUAUCUGUAUUGCUGGGAGCAUUGGAUUUCAGUCCUGAUGUUUGCCAGAAGACACUGAUUGUAGCAAACUCUUCUCAGGAAGUUGAAGAUGUGUUUAAGGUUGUAAACAACAAAUCAGCGUUCUGUCUCAAGACCCAUGAGGGAUUACUGGACAAGCUUGACUUUGUCAUCCAGCAGUGGAGGAAAAACAUUGGCCCUGGCACUCAUCUUAUUUUGGUGAGCACCAGCGAGUGUUUAAAGUUUCUUGGCAUUAGAGAUGCAGCUUGUGUUGUCCAUUUUGGAUUUCCCUCCUCUCCAAAACUGUUUGGCAGCAGACUCCUCUGCAUGGCUGAGAACUUCCGAAAUCUGUCUC